CAAAUUAGAGCUUGAUAAAGCAUUUCAUUUACAUUGAAAAGAUAAUAUUGAUUUUAUUUAAUUUGA
Molecule: transfer RNA, 66 nt
Filed under: Cochylidia moguntiana
Lineage: Eukaryota; Metazoa; Arthropoda; Insecta; Lepidoptera; Tortricidae
Description: tRNA-Val
Source: RNAcentral